AUUCAUCAGUAGUAUUGCGACCCCUUUUGACUAAAUCAUAAUAAUUGGUUAAUAUUUUGCUUUCAAUUUUUGUAAGAAAUUUUAAAUAUAUUUUAUAAUUUAUAUGUAUGAAAAUUAAUUAGAAGAUUCUAGUAAAUAAUUUAAAAAUUGAUCUUAAUUCGACAUUUGAUAUGAACUAUAAAAAUCCAUAUGGAUUUAGUCAUUUAUUUUGAAAGUAUAUUGAAUUUCAACAAUUCAUCUUUAUAACAAAUAUUUUUGUUAUAGUUUGGCAAAAAUCUGAUAAUUAUUGUUAGCAUCAUUUUUGUUUGAUUGUUCAUUUUAUUUUGAAAUACAUUAGAUAAAAUUAGAUAAUGUGAUAUAUGUUGUUUUGAACUGAAAUAAAAAGAGAAAAAUAUGUGCUCGAGAAGUUCUCCCAAUUCCUUGGCAGCACCAUUGACUUGCCGCUUGCGCUUAGAUUAGUUAGUUCAUUGGUAUCCUAAUGACACCACAAAUAGAAUUCAGGUAAAUGGCAGAUGCAGUCAUUGAUUCUUUCAAGAAUUUACUAUUACUAAGUUUGGUACUUUUCAGUGAUUUUCGCCUUAUUUAUUUGAAGAACUCGGAUCUAGGCCUAUAAUAUAUUCUUAAAAUAUUAAAAUAUAAUUAUAUUUAUAUAUAUAUUAUAUAUAAUUUUUAUAUUAAAUAAAUAAAAUUUUGGUUUUAUUAAGUUUCAAUAAUCUUUCAGUUUUUCUUACAAAAAUAAUUUGAAU
Molecule: long non-coding RNA, 746 nt
Filed under: Brassica napus (rape)
Lineage: Eukaryota; Viridiplantae; Streptophyta; Magnoliopsida; Brassicales; Brassicaceae
Description: long non-coding RNA (BNAP_LNC007473)
Source: RNAcentral